GAACGCAUAUUGCACUUUCUGGUAUUCCGGAAAGUAUGCCUGUUUGAGGGUCAGUUAAAUAAAAAUCGUUGUUGUUGCCGCUUUUCGUGGUGACGCGUCGGAAUUGAGUUGUCUUACCUUCGGUUAAGUGACUUAAAAUUUUGUAUGAUUUUCGAACGUAUUUAAAUUUAUUUGAACGUUUGAUAUCGAAUGCUUAUUAGGUUCGGUCAUCCUCAUGACUCGCGCCUAUAAUUUUUCAUUAAAUGACCUCAAAUCAGGUAAGAAUACCCGCUGAACUUAAGC
This 282-nucleotide unclassified non-coding RNA is filed under the name uncultured Glomeraceae. Its description in RNAcentral is "sequence contains ITS2". The stretch from base 1 to 53 matches the Rfam family "5.8S ribosomal RNA", at positions 102 to 154 of the family's 154-position model. Lineage: Eukaryota; Fungi; Glomeromycota; Glomeromycetes; Glomerales; Glomeraceae. The record is from RNAcentral.